GCUGGUUGUGGUGGCGCAUGCCUGUAAUCUCAGUGGCUUGGGAGGCUGAGACAGGAGGAUCGUGAGUUCAAAGCCAGCCUUGGCAAAAAGCAAGACUCUAAGCAACUGAGUAAGACCCUGUCUCUA
Molecule: small RNA, 126 nt
Filed under: Marmota monax (woodchuck)
Lineage: Eukaryota; Metazoa; Chordata; Mammalia; Rodentia; Sciuridae
Source: RNAcentral